AACUCUUAGCGGUGGAUCACUCGGCUCGUGCGUCGAUGAAAACGCAGCUAGCUGCGAGAACUAAUGUGAUUUGCAGGACAAAAAUUAAACCAGUUUUUUUUCUGCAGAGUUUUAAAUUACUUAUUUAUUACACAUCACAGUAGAAGAUGCU
Molecule: ribosomal RNA, 151 nt
Filed under: Poecilia reticulata (guppy)
Lineage: Eukaryota; Metazoa; Chordata; Actinopteri; Cyprinodontiformes; Poeciliidae
Description: 5.8S ribosomal RNA (ENSPREG00000010022.1)
Rfam family: 5.8S ribosomal RNA
About the family: 5.8S ribosomal RNA (5.8S rRNA) is a component of the large subunit of the eukaryotic ribosome. It is transcribed by RNA polymerase I as part of the 45S precursor that also contains 18S and 28S rRNA.
Source: Rfam by way of RNAcentral